GUCUGAAAGACUAAUCCAACAAAACAAGGAUUGAAAC
Molecule: non-coding RNA, 37 nt
Filed under: Candidatus Nitrosotenuis uzonensis
Lineage: Archaea; Thermoproteati; Nitrososphaerota
Source: RNAcentral